UGCAAGUCGAACGGCAGCACGGGAGCAAUCCUGGUGGCGAGUGGCGAACGGGUGAGUAAUAUAUCGGAACGUGCCCAGUCGUGGGGGAUAACGCAGCGAAAGCUGUGCUAAUACCGCAUACGAUCUAUGGAUGAAAGCGGGGGGUCGCAAGACCUCGCGCGAUUGGAGCGGCCGAUAUCAGAUUAGCUAGUUGGUGGGGUAAAAGCCCACCAAGGCGACGAUCUGUAGCUGGUCUGAGAGGACGACCAGCCACACUGGAACUGAGACACGGUCCAGACUCCUACGGGAGGCAGCAGUGGGAAUUUUGGACAAUGGGCGAAAGCCUGAUCCAGCAAUGCCGCGUGCAGGAUGAAGGCCUUCGGGUUGUAAACUGCUUUUGUACGGAACGAAACGGUCUACCCCAAUACGGUGGGCUAAUGACGGUACCGUAAGAAUAAGCACCGGCUAACUACGUGCCAGCAGCCGCGGUAAUACGUAGGGUGCGAGCGUUAAUCGGAAUUACUGGGCGUAAAGCGUGCGCAGGCGGUUAUAUAAGACAGAUGUGAAAUCCCCGGGCUCAACCUGGGACCUGCAUUUGUGACUGUAUAGCUAGAGUACGGUAGAGGGGGAUGGAAUUCCGCGUGUAGCAGUGAAAUGCGUAGAUAUGCGGAGGAACACCGAUGGCGAAGGCAAUCCCCUGGACCUGUACUGACGCUCAUGCACGAAAG
Molecule: ribosomal RNA, 707 nt
Filed under: uncultured beta proteobacterium
Lineage: Bacteria; Pseudomonadati; Pseudomonadota; Betaproteobacteria
Description: bacterial SSU rRNA
Rfam family: Bacterial small subunit ribosomal RNA
Source: RNAcentral